Molecule: ribosomal RNA, 371 nt
Filed under: uncultured bacterium
Lineage: Bacteria
Description: bacterial SSU rRNA
Rfam family: Bacterial small subunit ribosomal RNA
Source: RNAcentral
CUUGGGUUGUAAGCUCUUUCAGCUGGGAAGAUAAUGACGGUACCAGCAGAAGAAGCCCCGGCUAACUCCGUGCCAGCAGCCGCGGUAAUACGGAGGGGGCUAGCGUUGUUCGGAAUUACUGGGCGUAAAGCGCACGUAGGCGGACCGGAAAGUUGGAGGUGAAAUCCCAGGGCUCAACCUUGGAACUGCCUUCAAAACUAUCGGUCUGGAGUUCGAGAGAGGUGAGUGGAAUUCCGAGUGUAGAGGUGAAAUUCGUAGAUAUUCGGAGGAACACCAGUGGCGAAGGCGGCUCACUGGCUCGAUACUGACGCUGAGGUGCGAAAGCGUGGGGAGCGAACAGGAUUAGAUACCCUGGUAGUCCAAGGGCGAAU